GAAGAGAGAUUGUGCAACUUUAAACAAAUAUAUACAAAAGAAAGCAAAAACAAAUAUAAUUAUAAUAAGGGACUCGCACAAAUGUUAGUAAACCAUAGUUCACAUAGAUCUAAUAACAAAGCACUUUGACAAAAAUUAUGUCAACAUUAAGAUUUUAUUUUUACACAACAAUGUUUAGAUUACCUUUCAAUUAUAACUUCUUACUAGUUUUCUGUUCAUUUUCCUAGUUUUUUUUGGCUAACAACAGAACCAAACAUUACCUUCACAAGCAGAAAAACAACUAUUGUUUUCACCAAACCUAUCAAAAGAGAAACUAGGAUCAAUAAUUAACAUAAACCAUUAAUCAAAAAGAGAGACAUAUCAUAAGAUCUGGAUAUUAUUAUAUACAUACCACGUAGAUCUGAAGAGAAAUGGGUGGAUCUGAAGAUUAUUAUUUACCAUGUAGAUCUGAUAUGCCUCUUUGUUCCUCAAUGAUGAGCAGCUUUAUAUAUUUCUUCUUGUGUAUACCAUGAUAGAAAAACAAAAAGAAAAUCGUUAAGAGUUGUGAAAACUUAAAACGAAAAACACGGUAAAGAAAUCAAACACGAAGAAAAUGGAGGAGAUGGAUGGUAGGUACUUUGAGUUCAACGGCGGUGGCGGGAUGUGACGGCGGAGAACGAGUUGAGAAAACGAAGGAGAAGCAGCGAAUUGAUGGCAGCGGCUGAGUUUUUCACUAUGCUGCUAGGGUNNN
This 730-nucleotide long non-coding RNA is filed under the name Trifolium pratense (red clover). RNAcentral's name for it is "long non-coding RNA (TPRA_LNC001392)". The record is from RNAcentral. Lineage: Eukaryota; Viridiplantae; Streptophyta; Magnoliopsida; Fabales; Fabaceae.